CAAAGGCAUGGUCCCGACCUUAUUAUCAGCUCUAACUCAACUUACACAUGCAAGUCUCCGCAACCCAGUGAAUAUGCCCUCAAUCCCCCCACCCGGGGACGAGGAGCGGGCAUCAGGCACAAACAUUAGCCCAAGACGCCUAGCCAAGCCACACCCCCAAGGGAAUUCAGCAGUGAUAAACAUUAAGCCAUAAGUGAAAACUUGACUCAGUUAGUGUUAAGAGGGCCGGUAAAACUCGUGCCAGCCACCGCGGUUAGACGAGAGGCCCUAGUUGAUAUUACAACGGCGUAAAGGGUGGUUAAGGAUAAACAAAAAUAAAGUCAAAUGGCCCCUUGGCCGUCAUACGCUUCUAGGAGUCCGAAGCCCUAAUACGAAAGUAACUUUAAUAAACCCACCUGACCCCACGAAAGCUGAGAAACAAACUGGGAUUAGAUACCCCACUAUGCUCAGCCGUAAACUCAGACAUCCAGCUACAAUUAGAUGUCCGCCAGGGUACUACGAGCAUUAGCUUAAAACCCAAAGGACCUGACGGUGUCUCAGACCCCCCUAGAGGAGCCUGUUCUAGAACCGAUAACCCCCGUUCAACCUCACCACUUCUAGCCACCCCAGCCUAUAUACCGCCGUCGUCAGCUUACCCUGUGAAGGUAAUAAAAGUAAGCAAAAUGGGCGCAACCCAAAACGUCAGGUCGAGGUGUAGCGCAUGAAGUGGGAAGAAAUGGACUACAUUUUCUAAUAUAGAAUAUUACGAACAUGCACCAUGAAACAAUGCUUGAAGGAGGAUUUAGUAGUAAAAGGGAAAUAGAGUGUCCCUUUGAACCCGGCUCUGAGACGCGUACACACCGCCCGUCACUCUCCCCUGUCAAAACGCACCAAAAAUACAUAAUACAACAGCACUGACAAGGGGAGGCAAGUCGUAACACGGUAAGUGUACCGGAAGGUGCACUUGGAUCAAACC
This 955-nucleotide non-coding RNA is filed under the name Cyprinus carpio 'mirror' x Cyprinus carpio 'singuonensis'. RNAcentral describes it as "12S ribosomal RNA". It matches the Rfam family "Bacterial small subunit ribosomal RNA". The record is from RNAcentral. Lineage: Eukaryota; Metazoa; Chordata; Actinopteri; Cypriniformes.